This 252-nucleotide ribosomal RNA is filed under the name uncultured bacterium. RNAcentral describes it as "partial 16S ribosomal RNA". It matches the Rfam family "Bacterial small subunit ribosomal RNA", at positions 525 to 776 of the family's 1533-position model. The record is from RNAcentral.
ACAGAGGGUGCAAGCGUUAAUCGGAAUUACUGGGCGUAAAGCGCGCGUAGGUGGUUUGUUAAGUUGGGUGUGAAAGCCCCGGGCUCAACCUGGGAACUGCAUCCAAAACUGGCCAACUAGAGUACAGUAGAGGGUGGUGGAAUUUCCUGUGUAGCGGUGAAAUGCGUAGAUAUAGGAAGGAACACCAGUGGCGAAGGCGACCACCUGGACUGAUACUGACACUGAGGUGCGAAAGCGUGGGGAGCAAACAGG